RNAcentral lists this long non-coding RNA (316 nucleotides) under Bos mutus (wild yak). Its description in RNAcentral is "lncRNA (ENSBMUG00000026376.1)". The record is from RNAcentral. Lineage: Eukaryota; Metazoa; Chordata; Mammalia; Artiodactyla; Bovidae.
UCCGCCCCUAGCCGGGAGGCCGCGAGCGAGCAGGGAGGAGCAGGCCUGAGGUUGUGCCUGUGUCGUCUGGAGCAGAAGUUUGUGCAGAGGCAGGUAAAUGGGAAGGAGACCCACCAACCAGUAGGCUGCAGCCCAGAGGAACGAGGCGCAGAAGCACCGCCUCAGGCUUCAGAAGCUGUGGGAGUCCAGGAAGUAGAAAUGAAGAAGCUGGUGUGCUCUGGAGUCUGAGAUUUCUGCCCUGGGAAUCAGAAUUCGGGGGCACCAGGUAGGGAAUCUCUGUCAACUCUGGAGACAACACCUUUCAGAACAGGGACCC